UACGGAGGGGGCUAGCGUUGUUCGGAAUUACUGGGCGUAAAGGGCGUGUAGGCGGUUUGCCAAGUCAGAUGUGAAAGCCCCGGGCUUAACCUGGGAACUGCAUUUGAGACUGGCAGGCUAGAGGUUGGAAGAGGAGAGUGGAAUUCCCAGUGUAGAGGUGAAAUUCGUAGAUAUUGGGAAGAACACCAGUGGCGAAGGCGGCUCUCUGGUCCACACCUGACGCUGAGGCGCGAAAGCGUGGGGAGCAAACAGGAUUAGAAACCCCUGUAGUCC
Molecule: ribosomal RNA, 273 nt
Filed under: uncultured bacterium
Lineage: Bacteria
Description: partial 16S ribosomal RNA
Rfam family: Bacterial small subunit ribosomal RNA
Source: RNAcentral